AGUGAACGCUGGCGGUAGGCCUAACACAUGCAAGUCGAACGACAGCACAGGAAGAUUUCGCUCCUACGGGUGGCGAGUGGCGGACGGGUGAGGAAUACAUCGCCAUCCACUUUUUCUUGGGGGAUAACGUGGGGAAACUUACGCUAAUACCGCAUAUGACGUACGGCUUAAAUCAGUAGAUCUUCGGACCUUGCCUGUUUGAAUUAGCCGAUGCCGGAUUAGCUAGUUGACGGGGUAAAGGCCCACCAAGGCAACGAUGCGUAGCUGGUCUGAGAGGAUGAUCAGCCACACUGGAACUGAGACACGGUCCAGACUCCUACGGGAGGCAGCAGUGGGGAAUCUUGCGCAAUGGGCGAAAGCCUGAUCCAGCCAUACCGCGUGGGUGAAGAAGGCCUUCGGGUUGUAAAACUCUUUUGUUGGGAAAGAAAAGCAGCAGAAGAAUCCCCGGCUGUUUUGACGGUACCCAAAGAAAAAGCCCCGGCUAACUUCGUG
This 492-nucleotide ribosomal RNA is filed under the name uncultured bacterium. RNAcentral's name for it is "partial 16S ribosomal RNA". It matches the Rfam family "Bacterial small subunit ribosomal RNA", at positions 29 to 507 of the family's 1533-position model. The record is from RNAcentral.